AAAGAUUUAUCGGGGAAGGAUUGGCCCGCGUUGGAUUAGCUAGUUGGUGGGGUAAAGGCCUACCAAGGCGACGAUCCAUAGCUGGUCUGAGAGGAUGAUCAGCCACAUUGGGACUGAGACACGGCCCAAACUCCUACGGGAGGCAGCAGUGGGGAAUAUUGGACAAUGGGCGCAAGCCUGAUCCAGCCAUGCCGCGUGAGUGAUGAAGGCCUUAGGGUUGUAAAGCUCUUUCACCGAUGAAGAUAAUGACGGUAGUCGGAGAAGAAGCCCCGGCUAACUUCGUGCCAGCAGCCGCGGUAAUACGAAGGGGGCUAGCGUUGUUCGGAAUUACUGGGCGUAAAGCGCACGUAGGCGGAUAUUUAAGUCAGGGGUGAAAUCCCGCAGCUCAACUGCGGAACUGCCUUUGAUACUGGGUAUCUUGAGUAUGGAAGAGGUAAGUGGAAUUCCGAGUGUAGAGGUGAAAUUCGUAGAUAUUCGGAGGAACACCAGUGGCGAAGGCGGCUUACUGGU
RNAcentral lists this ribosomal RNA (510 nucleotides) under Rhizobium sp. RNAcentral describes it as "bacterial SSU rRNA". It matches the Rfam family "Bacterial small subunit ribosomal RNA", at positions 202 to 733 of the family's 1533-position model. Lineage: Bacteria; Pseudomonadati; Pseudomonadota; Alphaproteobacteria; Hyphomicrobiales; Rhizobiaceae. The record is from RNAcentral.